ACAUACGACCAUAUCUACUAGAAUAUACGGGAUCCCGUCCGCUCUCCCAUAGUCAAGCCAGUAAGAGGCAGAUUAGUAGUCAGGUGGGUGACCACUGGCGAACACCGGCUGUUGUAUGUU
Ribosomal RNA from Escovopsis weberi, 120 nucleotides. The record is from Rfam. NCBI's taxonomy places the organism in Eukaryota, Fungi, Ascomycota, Sordariomycetes, Hypocreales, Hypocreaceae.